Molecule: long non-coding RNA, 1821 nt
Organism: Frieseomelitta varia
Lineage: Eukaryota; Metazoa; Arthropoda; Insecta; Hymenoptera; Apidae
Exons: 2
Source: RefSeq, a predicted model, not a curated record
UUCUAGGCUGGACUCGGUGUUUCCUCGAAUCGAGUGACUGUGAUCAUUUCAGCAUACAUUAAACGAAAGCUAAACGGUGUCUUGUUGGAUGAAAAGUUGAAAGCAAUUUACGAAAUGAGAUACGAGAUAUCUCCUUUGGACGAUGAAAACGUUCAUUUUAAAAAAUAUUAUUAAAUACUGCAUAAUAUUUGUUAUCUUCUUCAGUUACGAUACAAUUCAUCGGCCACGUUUGGUAGCUUAAUGGCCAACAGAGGGAGGAAAUUUAUUGCAUUCGUAAGAAAUUACUACCAUUUCUUGCAAAGAUUUAACGCGCACUUCUUGCGCGAAUAGGUCAACGAUUGUCCUUCUAUAGUUUUCAAGGCGAACGGAUAUAAAUGUUACUUCUGCCUCUUGAAAUAGAAUCACGCUCGCAGGUACGUUUUAAUUAUAGUUUGCAAUUUUAUCCAGCUGCGAUAUACUGCCAAUUCUUCGACCGAGUAAUCGACGAAAUCUCCGAUCCGUGCGGCCACUGUCGAAGAUUUCGCAAAAUUUCCACUCCGCGGAAACACACGACUACGACUGAAUAAUUGAACGAUAUAUAUACAUAAUGAUCGCAAACACGUAACUUUGCACAUGUGCAUAUAUAAACGACAACUUUAUUCCACCAUACGUUUCGGUGUAUACUGAAGUUGAUAAGUAUUUAACAUUUCCACUUUAUUUAUUGUUGCGUCUACGUUUAAUAUGUGAUAUGUUAUAUCAUCGCUUGUUGCCAGCUUAAUAUUAAUAAUAUCGUUAUUAUCACUACGUUAUUAUCCAGGAUAUAUAUCGUCAUGCUCUUAGGUAUGAUCGAUGAUCGAAUUUCCUGCGCAGGACACAGCGUCGGCACAGCGUGACCAGUGACAUAAACGAAUGUAGCGCAUUGCGUUAUCGUUUCUGUCGCGCAUUGUAUAUCUUUCCUGCUAUUCAGAACACGUAAUUCAAUUUGAAACCGUGGUAAUCGCGUUUGCGGGUUGAUUAACAGAUCCCUAGCCAUUAAUCGCGCGAGCGGUAAUUACAUUAGAUACCGAUACCCUCGAAGGCCUUCUCUGUGUUCAGGCACUAUAGUAAUCGUCGUGAAUUCGUCGAGCCUUCAAUUUUAAUGGCGUUCCGUUAGAAGCGUUUAUGGCGUUGGGGAACCAUCUUCGACGAUAUUUGACGAACGGAUCGAAAUCAGGUUGAUUCACGGUUGAUUCGACGGAGAGACGGGGGCACAUACACAGUGCAUUACAUACAACGUGUAUCACGUAUAUAAGAUACGGUAUAUUAACACACGAUGUGUGUCGAGUUGUUCUCCACGUUUCGAUUUCUAUUUAACCGACGCCGUGCAUCUCGUCGGUUUUUGUUAUACUUUUCCUAAUUGCGACUAUCUUCGUCCAGCGAAGAGAAGAAAAGAAAAGAAAGAAGAGAGAAAGCAUUGGAACAGGGGCGGAAAAAAAAGGUGAUUGUCUCGUAGUCUUAUAAAUCAUUGGAUACCGUAAUGGCGAAUUUGCGAAGAGACAAUUGAAUUCUCGAAAGUGUAAGUAGAAAAGAGUGAGAGUAAGCUCGUAUGAUGUAUGCAGAGCGCAAGUGUAUGAUGUGCCACGUAUUUAAAUACAGCCGAUGAUCAAGCAAGCAAUGAAUAUAAAUGCAAAUAUAAAUAUUAUAUAUAUAUAUAUAUUAUUAUAAAUGUUACAAGAGAUUAAGCAAAUUAUGAAUUAUUAUCAGUUAACACGUCGUGCCGGUGCGCUCAUUCGACGAUUCGAGCGAUAAUGUAAAAAAACUGUUUACGAGUGAAUGGCGAAUAAAAUAUACGAUAACGAACAA